This 484-nucleotide ribosomal RNA is filed under the name uncultured bacterium. Its description in RNAcentral is "partial 16S ribosomal RNA". It matches the Rfam family "Bacterial small subunit ribosomal RNA", at positions 30 to 507 of the family's 1533-position model. The record is from RNAcentral.
AUUGAACGCUGGCGGCAGGCCUAACACAUGCAAGUCGAGCGGAUGAAGGGAGCUUGCUCCUGGAUUCAGCGGCGGACGGGUGAGUAAUGCCUAGGAAUCUGCCUGGUAGUGGGGGAUAACGUCCGGAAACGGGCGCUAAUACCGCAUACGUCCUGAGGGAGAAAGUGGGAGAUCUUCGGACCUCACGCUAUCAGAUGAGCCUAGGUCGGAUUAGCUAGUUGGUUGGGUAAAGGCCUACCAAGGCGACGAUCCGUAACUGGUCUGAGAGGAUGAUCAGUAAAACGGGAACUGAGACACGGUCAAGACUCCUACGGGAGGCAGCAGUGGGGAAUAUUGGACAAUGGGAGAAAGCCUGAUCCAGCAAUGCCGCGUGUGUGAAGAAGGUCUUCGGAUUGUAAAGAACUUUAAGUUGGGAGGAAGGGCAGUAAGUUAAUACCUUGCUGUUUUGACGUUACCAACAGAAUAAGCACCGGCUAACUUCGUG